This is a small nuclear RNA of Peromyscus maniculatus bairdii (prairie deer mouse), 103 nucleotides long. NCBI's taxonomy places the organism in Eukaryota, Metazoa, Chordata, Mammalia, Rodentia, Cricetidae. The record is from Ensembl.
GUGCUCUCUUUGAUAGCACAUAUUCUAAAAUUAGAACAAUACAGAGAUUAGCCUGGCCCUGUGCAAGGCUGACAAGCAAAUUCAUGAAGCAUUCCAUAUUUAA